GAAUUUUGGACAAUGGGCGAAAGCCUGAUCCAGCAAUGCCGCGUGCAGGAUGAAGGCCUUCGGGUUGUAAACUGCUUUUGUACGGAACGAAAAGCUUUGGGUUAAUACCCUGGAGUCAUGACGGUACCGUAAGAAUAAGCACCGGCUAACUACGUGCCAGCAACCGCGGGAAUACGUAGGGUGAAAGCGUUAACCGGAUUUCCUGGGCGUAAGGCGUGCGCAGGCGGUUUGGUAAGCCGGGGGGGAAACCCCGGGCCUCACCCUGGGAACUGCUUUGGGACCGGAAGGGUUGGGUUACGGAGGGGGGGGUGGAAUUCCGCGUGUAGCAGUGAAAUGCGUAGAUAUGCGGAGGAACACCGAUGGCGAAGGCAACCCCCUGGGCCUGUACUGACGCUCAUGCACGAAAGCGUGGGGAGCAAACAGG
RNAcentral lists this ribosomal RNA (424 nucleotides) under uncultured bacterium. RNAcentral describes it as "partial 16S ribosomal RNA". It matches the Rfam family "Bacterial small subunit ribosomal RNA", at positions 359 to 776 of the family's 1533-position model. The record is from RNAcentral.